This 393-nucleotide ribosomal RNA is filed under the name uncultured bacterium. RNAcentral's name for it is "bacterial SSU rRNA". It matches the Rfam family "Bacterial small subunit ribosomal RNA", at positions 28 to 437 of the family's 1533-position model. The record is from RNAcentral.
GACGAACGCUGGCGGCGUGCCUAACACAUGCAAGUCGAGGGUUUUAGUAGUAAUACGAAGAACACUGGCGCACGGGUGAGUAACGCGUAGAUCAUCUGCCCCUAACACUGACAUAACAGUUCUAACGGACUGCUAAUAUCAGAUGUGAUAAGCAAUUAUUAAAGGGUAACCGGUUAGGGAUGAGUCUGCGUCUGAUUAGGUAGUUGGUGAGGUAACGGCUCACCAAGCCUACGAUCAGUAACUGGUCUGAGAGGACGAACAGUCACACUGGAACUGAGACACGGUCCAGACUCCUACGGGAGGCAGCAGUGAGGAAUAUUGCACAAUGGGAGAAAUCCUGAUGCAGCGACGCCGCGUGUGGGAAGAAGGAGCUUAGCUUCGUAAACCACUGGU